RNAcentral lists this ribosomal RNA (492 nucleotides) under uncultured bacterium. RNAcentral describes it as "partial 16S ribosomal RNA". It matches the Rfam family "Bacterial small subunit ribosomal RNA", at positions 29 to 507 of the family's 1533-position model. The record is from RNAcentral.
AGUGAACGCUGGCGGUAGGCCUAACACAUGCAAGUCGAACGGCAGCACAGUAAGAGCUUGCUCUUACGGGUGGCGAGUGGCGGACGGGUGAGGAAUACAUUGGAAUCUACUUUUUCGUGGGGGAUAACGUAGGGAAACUUACGCUAAUACCGCAUACGACCUACGGGUGAAAGCAGGGGAUCUUCGGACCUUGCGCGAUUGAAUGAGCCGAUGUCGGAUUAGCUAGUUGGCGGGGUAAAGGCCCACCAAGGCGACGAUCCGUAACUGGUCUGAGAGGAUGAUCAGCCACACUGGAACUGAGACACGGUCCAGACUCCUACGGGAGGCAGCAGUGGGGAAUAUUGGACAAUGGGCGCAAGCCUGAUCCAGCCAUACCGCGUGGGUGAAGAAGGCCUUCGGGUUGUAAAGCCCUUUUGUUGGGAAAGAAAAGCAGCAGGUUAAUACCCCGCUGUUCUGACGGUACCCAAAGAAUAAGCACCGGCUAACUUCGUG